CGCACAUUGCGCCCUUUGGCAUCCCGAAGGGCAUGCCUGUUCGAGCGUCAUUAUCACCAUUCAAGCCUGGCUUGGUAUUGGGUGCCGUCCUGCCCUCUGCGGCGGGACGCUCUCUAAAACUAUCGGCGGUGCAACACCGGCUUCGAGCGUAGCAGACCUUCGCUUUCGAGGUUACCGGUGUGGCAGCGGCCGCGACGCACAACCUUUUGGUUGACCUCGGAUCAGGUAGGGAUACCCGCUGAACUUAA
RNAcentral lists this unclassified non-coding RNA (248 nucleotides) under Rhytidhysteron rufulum. RNAcentral's name for it is "partial contains 5.8S ribosomal RNA, internal transcribed spacer 2, and large subunit ribosomal RNA". The record is from RNAcentral. Lineage: Eukaryota; Fungi; Ascomycota; Dothideomycetes; Hysteriales; Hysteriaceae.